CACCAUCCACAUAGACCAUUUUUUUUUAUCAUAAAAAGCUUGAGAACGACAAUGGAUUUACCCCAGAUACAAAGUUUAGUGUUAGAAGGGGGCAAAGAUGUUUUCAGCAAACCAGAAGCUACUAGAAGGAAGUGCCUUCUGGAGGUUGAACAAGCUUACGGUUAUGCGACGCAGUCAUUUCCUUCUUCAGCUGUACCAGUAUAUCUUCCAUUGUGUACUCCCUUUGCCAGUUCGCAAGAAGCCCGAACUUCUUGGGAUCCACCUAUACAUUACAAAUGCAUCUUCAGACAAAAGUUACCGAAAGGAACGAGUCAGAGAAUGGCAGGAUGAUGAUUUUAUUAUGAGUACCACUCCUGUUUCAUGGUUGACACAAGUCAUGUUGAUACGUGUCAACCGCGAGAAACAAACCUCACGGGUAGAAUCGACCAACAAGGUUAGUGUUAAAUACUGAAAUCGUAUAUGUAGUGUUUUCAUGUCGAAUGAUUAGUGUUUGGCAGAGAUUGCAAAUCAAGAAUGACGACACAGAACAUCAACAAGUACAAAAUAACAAUUUACAAGAGAUUUUGGACCUCUCUCUCUCUCUCAGUCCUCUCUAUAUGCAACUAAUAAUUAAAUUCAAAAGAUUGAACAGAUGGACUGGGGAAGACGCUGUUUUUGAUAAUUUGCACACAAGUAGAAACUUCAUGAUCAAUCGAACAACAUCACCACCAUCCACAUAGACCAUUUUUUUUUAUCAUAAAAAGCUUGAGAACGACAAUGGAUUUACCCCAGAUACAAAGUUUAGUGUUAGAAGGGGGCAAAGAUGUUUUCAGCAAACCAGAAGCUACUAGAAGGAAGUGCCUUCUGGAGGUUGAACAAGCUUACGGUUAUGCGACGCAGUCAUUUCCUUCUUCAGCUGUACCAGUAUAUCUUCCAUUGUGUACUCCCUUUGCCAGUUCGCAAGAAGCCCGAACUUCUUGGGAUCCACCUA
This 970-nucleotide long non-coding RNA is filed under the name Brassica napus (rape). RNAcentral's name for it is "long non-coding RNA (BNAP_LNC004224)". Lineage: Eukaryota; Viridiplantae; Streptophyta; Magnoliopsida; Brassicales; Brassicaceae. The record is from RNAcentral.